Trichonephila inaurata madagascariensis is the source of this 82-nucleotide non-coding RNA. Lineage: Eukaryota; Metazoa; Arthropoda; Arachnida; Araneae; Nephilidae. The record is from the annotation of a GenBank genome assembly.
GAUGAGGUGUCCGAGUGGCUAAGGCGAUGAACUGUUAAUCCAUUGGGCGCUGCCCGCGUGGGUUAGAAUCCCAUACUUGUCG